GUAGGUGGCAAGCGUUGUCCGGAAUUAUUGGGCGUAAAGCGCGCGCAGGCGGUUCUUUAAGUCUGAUGUGAAAGCCCACGGCUCAACCGUGGAGGGUCAUUGGAAACUGGAGAACUUGAGUACAGAAGAGGAAAGCGGAAUUCCACGUGUAGCGGUGAAAUGCGUAGAGAUGUGGAGGAACACCAGUGGCGAAGGCGGCUUUCUGGUCUGUAACUGACGCUGAGGCGCGAAAGCGUGGGGAGCAAACAGGGAUUAGAUACCCUGGUAGCCCACGCCGUAAACGAUGAGUGCUAAGUGUUAGGGGGUUUCCCGCCCCUUAGUGCUGCAGCUAACGCAUUAAGCACUCCGCCUGGGGAGUACGGCCCGCAAGGCUG
Molecule: ribosomal RNA, 374 nt
Filed under: uncultured organism
Description: partial 16S ribosomal RNA
Rfam family: Bacterial small subunit ribosomal RNA
Source: RNAcentral